AUGGGACCCUUUGCUCAGAAAGUCCCACCAAACUGGGCUUCACCUGCUGGAGGGGGUGGGGGACUUGAUGGCUAUAAGAGAUACUAUGGUCCCAUUGACCCUGAGGGACUGGGGCCCUGCAUGGAGCAGCAGGCAGGGUCCCAGACCCCCAAGACUAUGCCCAGGGGCCACCCCCAGCCUCCUCCAGCCAGUGUGGCAUUCUAUUCAGAGAAGGGCAUAGACCAUGGGGUGGGGAAGAGGGUGGUGGGAGGUGGCAGCGGAGGUCAGGGGAAGGGGGUCGUUAAACCUCUGGGCACUCCCAGAUUGCCUUCUAAGAGUCAGGCCCCUCUGCCUCCUACACCCCCGCUGCCACACCCCUCUCCCCCUCUCCCCUCAUCCUUCUGGAGGAAGCGUAGGCCCAAGAAGCCCAAAGAGCCUGGAGGGCCACUGUAUGAAAACAUUUUACCCCUGGGGCGGAGGGGAGGAGCACGAGAUGGAGUGAGAGAGGGAGGAGGGAGGAGGGCACGCCCCCUCUCUCCCCCGCUCUCACUUCCUGUGCCAGUACCCCUCAGCCCCUCUUACACCCCUCCUUCGCCCUCUGCAUCUUUGCACUAUACGUCCUCCUUGUCUUCGUCGACCACCUCAUCCACAUCCACGUCCUCAUCUGCCUCUUCUUCUCGCUCCACCUCUCCCACCUACUCUUACAGCUCCUCCAGGAGCACACGGGACAGGACUGGAGGUAUAGAUGGAGAGGAUGAUGAUGACGAUGAGGAGCUGACGGAAGAGUCAAGCCUCCUACUUGGCAGGGGGAGGGAGAGGGAACGCUCAAUCAUCCGGCCUCGCUCCCUCAGCCAGGGGCGCCUGCCACCACCCAUACCCCCCAGGAAACCACGCACAUCCUGGGGUGACAGAGAAAGGGAACGAGAGAGGGAGAGAGGAGGAAGCCAACUGUCUCAGCUCCAAGAGUGGUGGGCAAGCUGGAGUGAGAGAGAGAGGAGUGGAGCGGGUGGAGAUGCUGAGAGGCAAAAAAGGGAAAAGAAGAGAAGAAAAGAGAAGGAGAAAGAGAAGAAGAAGAAGAAAAAGAACAAAAAGAGGAAAAAGAGGGAAGAAAGGGAAAGAGAGCGAGAGAGAGAAAGGAAGCGGCGAAAGGUGAAAAAGAAGAAGAAAAAAGAGCUAAAGACACAGAAAAGGAAGAAAUCAAUUGGGGGAAGACGCUCUGAGCCAGAGGAGGGAGAUGUAGAGCCAGAGAGGGAAGGGGAGGCAGAAGGCGAGAGGGAAGGAGGAAUACAAGACUACUCCUCCUUCUCUGCCCAGUAUCGGAGCUCAUUUGGGGAGAAGGGACGGGAUUCAUGGGAAGGAGAAAGGGUAGAGAGAGGUAGGAGAGAAGGAGGAGAUGAGGGCAAUGAACAGGAGGAGAGCAGCAGAAGCAGGGAGAGGCGCCCAAAAUCCUCACGCUCUCAUUCCAGACAUCGUAUUCCCAGUAAGCGCUACCCUAACCUCAACAAACUCCCUGCAUCAGUCAAAUUUUGGGUGAAUGGGAGAGGAGAUGAUUCAAAUACUCCUCCAACAUCCCUCCACCCACUUCUUCCGUCCUCCAAGCGGAGAAGAAGUGAAGGGAUUAACAGAGAUGACAGCGGCAGAGUCGGAGAGCGGCGUCCUUUGUUAAUGCAUUAUGAAAAAGAGAAAGCACAGACAAGAGAAGGACCUACAUUCCCUGAGUGGGACUCUGAGGGUGACGAGGAUGAUGAUGAGGAAGAGGAGGAGAGGGAGAGACUGAGGGAGAGGGGAAGGAGAGUGGGCAGGGGGGCAGUGUCUGAGUCAGAGAGGGACAGGGCCAGGGUAGAGGACAGUUAUUCAGAUGAGGGCUCGUCAGGAGAGUUUGGUCGCUUUGAAAGAUACUGGGAAGGUGGUGCAGGGGGAAGCAGCACUGGAAUAGGGGGCAUAGGCGGAGGAGGCUGGUUCUUUGGCACCUACCCCUCCAGAGAGAAAGGGGGCAGUAUCAACAGUCGGGAUGAUUCCUUACUAGGUACUCGGACAGAGGGAUGGAUUGGUGCUGAUUUCUGGGGUUCAGGGCCAGGAGUAGGUUGGGGCUCAGGGGGAGGUAGUGGAGGGCUCGGCUCACAGUGGCCGCCACCCCCCACAGCCUUCCCUCCACCUAGGAGAUAUUGGUCCAUGGACAAGAUCCCUGUGAAGGGAGAGAAAAAGUGGAAGAGUGGAGGAGGGAAGAGCAAGGGGCGGUCUCGAGACAGAGGGGAAGAAGCAGGACGGGCCACCAUGUGUUCCUGUAGCCUUUACCCCCAACCCCAUCCUUACCCACAUCCUCACAGCCGCUCGCACACCUCCCACUCAAAGAGAGGAGCCACGGCACUUUCCCAUAGCCAGGAAGAGCUUCUCCCCCACUGCCACAGCUUCAGCGGGGGUUCUCGCCCCAAGCCUCUCCCCCCCAAACCAGAUCCCAGUCAGGCCAAAUCAGGCAGCCAAUCUAACCUCAGCCUCAGCACACAGCCCACAGACCAUCCACCUCAGCCCUCUCCGUCGCCACCCCAGCAGCCGUCCAUGUCUCCCACCUCUCUCCCGAUGCCCAUCCCCCCUCCGCCCUCCUCAUCCUCCAUCUCACCACCAGCAGGGGUAGGGAUGGUAGGCCAGGCUCAGGCUUCGGCCAGUGCCAAACUCCAGUAUCAGAGACUGCGCUCGGUGCCACAGCCACGGAGGUUUUACUCCCCCCACCUGCCACUCAAAGCCAAGAGCCUGUGCUCGCGCCGAGGGUCGGCCCACUUCUCCAGCCUGGAGAGCGAGGUAUGA
Molecule: long non-coding RNA, 2781 nt
Organism: Cottoperca gobio
Lineage: Eukaryota; Metazoa; Chordata; Actinopteri; Perciformes; Bovichtidae
Source: Ensembl